This 497-nucleotide ribosomal RNA is filed under the name uncultured bacterium. Its description in RNAcentral is "partial 16S ribosomal RNA". It matches the Rfam family "Bacterial small subunit ribosomal RNA", at positions 28 to 507 of the family's 1533-position model. The record is from RNAcentral.
GAUGAACGCUGGCGGCGUGCCUAAUACAUGCAAGUCGAGCGAACAGACGAGGAGCUUGCUCCUCUGACGUUAGCGGCGGACGGGUGAGUAACACGUGGAUAACCUACCUAUAAGACUGGGAUAACUUCGGGAAACCGGAGCUAAUACCGGAUAAUAUAUUGAACCGCAUGGUUCAAUAGUGAAAGACGGUUUUGCUGUCACUUAUAGAUGGAUCCGCGCCGUAUUAGCUAGUUGGUAAGGUAACGGCUUACCAAGGCAACGAUCCGUAGCCGACCUGAGAGAGUGGUCGGCCACACUGGAACUGAGACACGGUCCAGACUCCUACGGGAGGCAGCAGUAGGGAAUCUUCCGCAAUGGGCGAAAGCCUGACGGAGCAGCGCCGCGUGAGAGAUGAAGGUCUUCGGAUCGUAAAACUCUGUUAUUAGGGAAGAACAAAUGUGUAAGUAACUAUGCACGUCUUGACGGUACCUAAUCAGAAAGCCACGGCUAACUACGUG